RNAcentral lists this long non-coding RNA (1706 nucleotides) under Paramuricea clavata. The record is from RNAcentral. Lineage: Eukaryota; Metazoa; Cnidaria; Anthozoa; Malacalcyonacea; Plexauridae.
UUGGGUUAUGUUUGUAGUGUUUAGAAGACGUCACUAUAACAAAGCAUUGAUGAUAAUGCUUUCCUUCACUCGGAAGGAAUUGCUACUUCUAUAUUCGAAACCGUACGUUAACACUUGGCUCCAUUCGAUCAAUAUCCAGCUGAGAACUUCCACUCAGUGUUAAGAAGAACCAAGGAGACCGAUACAGCCGAUGAAAUUGCAUCCAAGGCAAAGAAAUUGAUACCUGUAAACAUGAGCUGCGUUCCUUUCAAUCAGUAUUUGUGUCACCUAGAAAAUUUAAGUUUAGUUCAAAAAUAAUUAAUAAAUUAAAAGCAAAGGCUGCUGAAUUCCUCACGUGCACCCUCAAGUUUGAAUCCCUUUUUACACACCCUAACAUGGCAAUUCGACAACCCAGAACCCACCAACAACCUAAACAUACCACCACGUGGAAACGUCCCAACCUGUUUGGCGAGAAGAUUAUCACCAAUCGAGUGCUCCCGCUGGGGUUCACAUCAGUGUAAAACUCACCAAACCCAAGCAGGUAAAUAGAAAACAAACGAGGGGGGGCUUCAGUGGUGAACAAUUUCAAUUUAACCCAAUGCAAGUACUGUACACUUAAAGUAACACACAGGCAAACCAAUUGCUGCAAUUGGUGUGCCUGCAAGUAAUAAAUAAUGCUUUUAAAAAUCUUCAAUUUCAAAUGAGGCAGUAAAUUGGUAGGCAAAUCUUUAAAUAAUAUUCUGUGAUUAUUGUAAACUAUGUACCAGUCAACAUAAAUCCCCGCCUGCUUAAAUCUAGGAAAUGUGGGGGCCAUUGGGCAAAGAAGUGUCACAAAAACAAAACCAGAUAUUUAUACAAUCCAGCAAUUUUGAUUAUGCAGUGAUUAGAAGUAAAAACUGUCAAAUUCUGGGUUGAGGGAGGUGGUAAUUUACAUUGAUUGGUACUAUACACUUACUAAUGGGAUGCCAUGGAGUCAGGUGAACAGCUGCCAGUUCCGCUGAAGUGAUUCAAGACAUUGUCCAAACACGUUCUAGAGAUUAUGAGUGCUGUUUUAACUUUGCUAUACACACUCAUAUUUUGAAACAAUUUGGCAAAGGACGUACUGACUAAUACAUGUAACAUAAAUAUAAAAUAUAAGUCUUACUUUAAAAUUUUCAUCAUAAAAAAUGCGAUAUGCCUGCCUGCAAAAAGGUUAAUCCAUUUUGGAACGUUUUCCGUGGUUGUGGACAUUCGUUCCACAUCGAGUGCAUCCUGCCCAACAUCAGCAAUUGCCCAGUUUGUCCAGCAACGUUGUUGGCAAAUGUUGAAGCUCUUGGAAGACAGCGAAUAACGCUGUGUUUGCUUCGGCGACUCGCUUUGAAGAGGACGAAAGCGAUGAAGAAAGUGAGGCAAUCGAUGACGAUGACGCUGAAGACUAACCAGAAGACGAACAGGACGAAAGCUGAUUGGCCAACAUUAUUUAUCCUGGUUAGCAAGAUAUCUUCAUCGUCUGACAAAUCAUCUUGUUCACUAUCCGCAUGUUCUUUUGGGGGAAUGUCACGCAUGCGCACUUCUUUGCUGCGAAAAAUUGCGAUGAGCUGUUUGCCGAACACUAUAUAGAGAUUUUUGUCACGAAUGACAGAAAAUAUCAAACAUGCUUGAUAUUUGCUGUUUACGACACAAGUGUCAAAAAUCCUGAAUAUUUUCCCCACACACUAUGAUUUUUGUCGCACAUAAUUGGUCACGAA